CCUACGGGAGGCAGCAGUGAGGAAUAUUGGUCAAUGGGCGCGAGCCUGAACCAGCCAAGUAGCGUGAAGGAGGACGGCCCUACGGGUUGUAAACCUCUUUUGCCGGGGAGCAACGGGCGCCACGUGUGGCGUCACUGAGAGUACCCGGAGAAAAAGCAUCGGCUAACUCCGUGCCAGCAGCCGCGGUAAGACGGAGGAUGCGAGCGUUAUCCGGAUUUAUUGGGGUUAAAGGGUGCGUAGGCGGAUCGUUAAGUCAGUGGUCAAAUUGAGGGGCUCAACCCCUUCCCGCCAUUGAACAGGGCGUUCUUGAGUGGAAGAGAAGUAUGCGGAAUUCGUGGUGUAGCGGUGAAAUGCAUAGAUAUCACGCAGAACCCCGAUUGCGAAGGCAGCAUGCCGGCUUCCGACUGACGCUGAAGCACGAAAGCGUGGGGAUCGAACAGGAUUAGAUACCCUUGUAGUC
This 460-nucleotide ribosomal RNA is filed under the name uncultured bacterium. RNAcentral describes it as "partial 16S ribosomal RNA". It matches the Rfam family "Bacterial small subunit ribosomal RNA", at positions 338 to 795 of the family's 1533-position model. The record is from RNAcentral.